AAAAAAAAAAUAUGAAGCUUCUGUCAAAUCAGGAGCUUCUUCUGACGAUGUUUAUCGGCCAAAAUUGUAGUAUUAUGAUAUGAUGAACUUUCUAAAUGACCAAGAUACGCCUCGAGAAUCAACAUCAAAUUUGGACACAAAAGAUGAAAGCUAUCUGAGAUUGGCAUAGAUGAAAAUCUGGAAAAUGAAGUAGAAGGAAUCGACUCGGUAAAUUCGACAGUUGAGCGAUCAGAUAUCGUUAAUCCACCAAGGGCAGAAAAAUCUAAAAAAAACGAUGCAAAGUUAACUA
This 289-nucleotide unclassified non-coding RNA is filed under the name Rhopalosiphum maidis (corn leaf aphid). Its description in RNAcentral is "uncharacterized LOC113552134, transcript variant X1". The record is from RNAcentral. Lineage: Eukaryota; Metazoa; Arthropoda; Insecta; Hemiptera; Aphididae.